UUGAACGCUGGCGGCAGGCCUAACACAUGCAAGUCGUAACAAGGUAACCCGGGCGGCCGCUCGAGCCAAAUUUUUGUUGUACGGGUGAGUAAUGUCUGGGAAACUGCCCGAUGGAGGGGGAUAACUACUGGAAACGGUGCUAAUACCGCAUAAUGUCGCAAGACCAAAGAGGGGGACCUUCGGGCCUCUUGCCAUCGGAUGUGCCCAGAUGGGAUUAGCUUGUUGGUGAGGUAACGGCUCACCAAGGCGACGAUCCUAGCUGGUCUGAGAGGAUGACCAGCCACACUGGAACUGAGACACGGUCCAGACUCCUACGGGAGGCAGCAGUGGGGAAUAUUGCACAAUGGGCGCAAGCCUGAUGCAGCCAUGCCGCGUGUAUGAAGAAGGCCUUCGGGUUGUAAAGUACUUUCAGCGGGGAGGAAGGGGUUAAGGUUAAUAACCUUAGCCAUUGACGUUACCCGCAGAAGAAGCACCGGCUAACUCCGUGCCAGCAGCCGCGGUAAUACGGAGGGUGCAAGCGUUAAUCGGAAUUACUGGGCGUAAAGCGCACGCAGGCGGUCGUCAAGUCGGAUGUGAAAUCCCCGGGCUCAACCUGGGAACUGCAUUCGAAAUGGCAGGCUUGAUUUC
Molecule: ribosomal RNA, 627 nt
Filed under: Citrobacter sp. BAF
Lineage: Bacteria; Pseudomonadati; Pseudomonadota; Gammaproteobacteria; Enterobacterales; Enterobacteriaceae
Description: bacterial SSU rRNA
Rfam family: Bacterial small subunit ribosomal RNA
Source: RNAcentral